AGUUAAAUGUUAGAAUCAUUUUAUUUUGAAUUAAAUUAUUUAUUUAUUAAUAGGUUAAUUAAAUUAUUAAUUAUUUUUAUUAUGAUAAAUAGAAUAAAUUAUUUUUUUUAUAGUAAAUUAGUAUAGUAAUAGAAUAUAUUUUAAUAAUGUUAAGAAUAAUUUAUUUUUAGUACCUUGUGUAUCAGGGUUGAUUAAUAAAAAUUAAUAUAUAUUAUUUUCUCGAAAAAAUUAAGAGCUAAUUUUAUAUAAAUUUUAAUGUGGAAUUAUUAUUUAAAAUAUAUUAUUGGUAAUGAAAUGUUAUUCGUUUUUUUUGAUAUCUAGUUAUUUAAGAAAUAUAUUUAAUUUAGCAUAAUUUAAUAAUUUUUUUAUUUUUAAAUUUAUUAUUAUAAUUAUAGUUAUAUUUUAAGGGUUGAGCUUUAAAUUAAAUUUUUAUAAAUAAUUUAAUAUAUAAAAUUAAAUAGAAUUAGAAUUUUUUUAUUUUUUAUAAUAUGUUAUAAUUAGGUUUUAUGUAAAUUUUAUUUUUAUUUAUUUUAAAUUUUUUAUUAAAUAUUAUAAUUAAAUUUUGAAUUUAUAGAUAUAAUGAUUAAAUUAGUAUUAUUUAUUUUUAAUGAAAAUUAAUAUUUUAAGGUAUAAAUAAGGAAUUCGGCAAAUUUUAUUUUCACCUGUUUAUUAAAAACAUGUCCUUUUGAAUAUGAUUUAAGGUCUAGUCUGCUCAAUGAUGAAUUAAAUAGCUGCAGUAUUUUGACUGUACAAAGGUAGCAUAAUCAAUAGUUUUUUAAUUGAAAGCUUGUAUGAAUGGCUGGAUGAGAAAUAAACUGUCUAUUUAUAAUAAAAAGAAUUUUAUUUUUAAGUUAAAAAGCUUAAAUUUUAGUAAAAGACGAGAAGACCCUAUAGAGUUUAAUUUUUUAUAUAAUUUUUAUUAAUAAAGAAUUUUAUUUAUUUAAAUAUUAUAAUUAAUUUGAUUGGGGUGAUUUUAAAAUUUAUUUAACUUUUAUAAUUUUUUUACAUUAAUAUAUGAGUAUAUGAUCCAUUAUUUAUGAUUAAUAGAUUAAAUUACCUUAGGGAUAACAGCGUAAUUUUUUUGGAGAGUUCUUAUUGAUAAAAAAGAUUGCGACCUCGAUGUUGGAUUAAAAUUAACUAUUGGCGCAGAAGUUAAUGGGUUGGGUCUGUUCGACCUUUAAAAUUUUACAUGAUCUGAGUUUAAACCGGUGUAAACCAGGUUGGUUUCUAUCUUUAUUUAAUUAAUAUAUUUUAGUACGAGAGGACCUAAUAUAUGUAAUAUUUAUUUAAAUUAGAUUAAUAUUAAAUUUGUUAUUUUGGCAGAUUAGUGCAUUAAAUUUAGAAUUUAAUUAUGUAUAUAAAUACAG
RNAcentral lists this ribosomal RNA (1367 nucleotides) under Hydrophilidae sp. BMNH 1274306. Its description in RNAcentral is "16S ribosomal RNA". The stretch from base 1064 to 1222 matches the Rfam family "Archaeal large subunit ribosomal RNA", at positions 2544 to 2703 of the family's 2987-position model. Lineage: Eukaryota; Metazoa; Arthropoda; Insecta; Coleoptera; Hydrophilidae. The record is from RNAcentral.